AUGGGAAGAGUUAAACAGAGCUUCAUGAAAAUUCUAAAUCGAGGAGUUUCAAGUGCGGCAAGGGAGGAAGGGCGUGUUCUUGGUACAGCCAGUGCACCCUACUACAUAAUAGAGAAAGGCCUGCUUAAAAAGCAGCUUCUGCGUACCUGUGGAGCCCUUGUAGUUACUGGCUUUGCAAUCUAUGGCCUUAAGGUUUUGAUUGAUAUGUGCGACGACAAAGAAGUUGGCAAAUUCGAUGCUUUGAAACAAGCGGCUGCGGAUUUAAGCACAAAAUUCAGUGACGUAAAGGGCGUCGACGAAGCCAAGGCUGACCUUGAGGACAUAGUUCUCUACCUACGAGAUCCCAAGAGUUUCACUCGCCUUGGUGGCAAGCUUCCAAAGGGUGUUUUGCUUACCGGCCCACCCGGCACAGGGAAGACCAUGUUGGCAAGGGCUCUGGCCGCAGAAGCCGGCGUCCCUUUCUUUGCAUGUAGUGGCAGUGAUUUCGAGGAGGUGUAUGUGGGUCUUGGGGCUAAGAGAGUGCGGGAGCUCUUUCGUGUAGCAAAGAAGCGAUCUCCUUGCAUAAUAUUCAUCGAUGAGAUUGACGCCGUUGCUGGGCGCAGACACGCAUUAGACCCGUCGUGGCAGAGGCAGACCAUGAACCAGCUGCUUUCUGAGAUGGAUGGCUUCAGGCAGAAUGAAGGGAUCAUUGUGAUCGCCGCGACAAACUUCCCGGAGUCGCUAGAUAAAGCCAUUGUCAGGCCUGGGCGUCUUGACCGUCAAAUCCAUGUUCCUACCCCAGAUGUUGAGGGCCGCCGGCAGAUCCUUGAGGCUUACAUGUCAAAGGUGUGUAAAGCCGAGGGUGUGGAUGCAAUGACCAUUGCGAGGGCGACACCUGGGUUCUCAAGUGCAGACCUUGCAAACCUAGUGAACGAUGCUGCUCUCAAGGAUUCAAGGGAUGGGGCAGAUGCUGUUGGGAUGGAUCACCUCGAGUACGCCAAGGACAGGAUCAUCAUGGGCAGCGAACGCAAGUCAGCGGUGAUAUCUGAUCAUUCGAAGAAAAUGACUGCCUACCAUGAGGGAGGUCACGCCCUUGUUGCUAUCCUCACGGACGGUGCUGACCCUGUCCACAAGGCCACAAUUAUGCCAAGGGGAAAGGCUCUCGGCAUGGUGACACAACUGCCAGGGGAAGACAGCGAACUGGAACUCUCGAGGAAGCAGAUGCUGGCGAGGCUGGAUGUCCUCAUGGGAGGGCGGGUGGCUGAGGAGCUUAUAUUUGGAGAAACCGGGAUCACAACUGGUGCCUCCUCUGACCUAAGCAAGGCGACUAAAUUAGCGAAAGACAUGGUCACCAGAUAUGGCAUGAGCAAGCGGGUCGGCCUUGUUUCCUACAGCAACGACGGUUAUGGUGGUGAUGGCAAGACAACGGCCCUGGUUGAUGAGGAGGUGAAAGAUUUAUUGGAUAACGCUUACAAGAAUGCGAAAACGAUUCUCACGGAGCACAACAAGGAGUUUCAUGCGCUAGCAAACGCCCGGCUGAAGCAUGGAACUCUCACUGGCGACGAGAUCAUCAAACUAGUAUUGACAGAACAACAAGCAGAUGGUCGCAACAAUAGCCAGCAGAAUCAGGUAACACCUUCUCUCACUGGCGACGGGAUCACGGAACCGGUGUCAACACAAGAACAAAUAGGCGAUGCUAAGAAUGGUCAGCAGUAA
Molecule: ribosomal RNA, 1695 nt
Filed under: Triticum aestivum (bread wheat)
Lineage: Eukaryota; Viridiplantae; Streptophyta; Magnoliopsida; Poales; Poaceae
Description: partial small subunit ribosomal RNA
Source: RNAcentral